This is a long non-coding RNA of Hemicordylus capensis (graceful crag lizard), 3500 nucleotides long. RefSeq lists it as uncharacterized. The transcript is spliced from 5 exons. The record is from RefSeq and is a predicted model, not a curated record. Lineage: Eukaryota; Metazoa; Chordata; Lepidosauria; Squamata; Cordylidae.
UUGGUUGUGGCUGUUAUAAGAAUGAGCAGGGUUCUUCAGGAACAAAUCGAUGAAGGCUGGGGAUGGGAAGAGCAAAGACAACCUCUUUCCUUGCGGUGUAAUCUCGUUUUCAAACGCUCCCAAAGCUUGGGGUAAGUAUGAUUGUCAGCUCUGUUUGUGUUUCUUUGACGAGACGCCUGUGCGCGCAGGUAGAAGGAGACGAGGCAGCCGCUCGGCCUGUAGCUGGUGUGCUAAUCGGGGGUGGGAGGAGGGAAGGGGCGCCUCUCAAGGCUUUGCUCUGGAGCUGAACAUUAAUCGCAGCAAAACGCCCCCCAAACAAACAGCCAGUCCCCACCGCUGGGAACACCGCAGCAGCCCCAGAACUGGGGAGCAGGCCGAGCAAAAGCCAGCGUUCCUCCAACGUCUGUGCAGUUUAACUAACCGCACCGUCGCCAUCACGGCGUCCUUUCCAACAAAUGCUUCUCCACCGCAGACACUGGCCCUUAAGUUUCCAAAUCAGUCAUCCAGAAUUAAGGGCGAUGUUAAGCCCAUUGUGUUUUAAUCAUCCUGGCUAUUUAAAUUCUAAUAUGGCUCCACAAUUUUGCGCCAAGGGAGCUGAAUAUAUACAUUAUAUUACUUUCUUUUUUCUUUUUUAAAAGCUAAUUUACAUGAAACUUCUGUAGUCUUGGGCAGGUGAAACAUGGCUUAAUCUGCACUCUGCUGGUCACAUAUUUCCGGCCAGUGUGCUACUCACGUUCACGUGGAGAUCAAGGUCUUUCUUUUGCAAAACAAUACAUGAAAGAGUGUCUUCCCAAUAGGGGCAUAUUAAAAACUAGCAGCAACUUUCCUUCUGUGUUGAUAGAUUCCGGUCCAAACCCUCAGAAUUCCCCGAGAUUAUUCGUGUAAAUAAUUUGAUUCUAACUUUCUGAUUUUGCCGGUGGGAAUGGAUGCAAACGGAUGCAAGUUGGGCGCUGGAGAGAGCUACCGCAGCAAACAGUACUGAAAAGACGACGACGGGCCGAUGAAUUUACGGCAACACUCGAAUCUGUCAAGAAAAGAACAGUCCAAGGAGGAGGGAGCAUUUCUCCAUCUCUAGUUCAAUUCACAAAACACUAGCAAAGCAGAAAACAGAAGCAUGGGUUACUUCCUCACUGAAAACAAUGGGACAUGCCGUCCGAGCCUAUGCACGCUUACUCCGAAGUAAGUCACACUGAAGGAGAUACCCAGGCGCCGCAUCGCUAAUAUUUGAUAGCAAUGCCUUAUGGAGCAGAGUGUGAGGUAAUGGAGCUCCCUUUCGUUCACCCAAGUCAGUGGAAGCUUGCAUGCCCUCCGGAACAGGUUAAAUUAUCUGCAACUCUAGAUGUCCCACAAGCCUGCUGACACUGGACUUCUUCAGUGUAUAUGAAUCAUACCAACUUUCUGCAGAUGGAUGAAUUUCAUCGUACACCCCAGAUAAUCUGACAGAAUGAAGAUACUCUUAUGGAACUUGUACAAUUUUAUAUUAGUGCCUUACACACUGUGCAGUACUCCACUAAUGGAACAGUGGCAUGUGUAUGCCGCUUCUGUGAGUCUACAAAGCAUGUCAUUCAUUCAUUUCAUUCAUUCAUUUGCUUUCUAUACCGCCCUUCCAAAAAUGGCUCAGGGUGGUUUACACAGAGAAAUUGUGAGCCCUUUGGGGACAGAAUGUGAGCCCUUUGGGGACAGGGUUCCAUCUUAUGUAUGUAUGUAUGUAUGUAUGUAUGUAUGUAUGUAUUAUUUCUUUGUGUAAACCGCCCUGAGACAUUUUUGGAAGGGUGGUAUAGAAAUCAAAUCAAAUCAAAUCAAAUCAAAUCAAUCAAUCAAUAAAAAACCCCAAACAAAUAAGAUAAAACCCUUUGCCCAAAGGGCUCACAAUCUAAAAAGAAACAUAAGAGAGAUACCAGCAACAGUCACUGGAGGUACUGUGCUGGGGGUGGAUAGGGCCAGUUACUCUCCCCCUGCUAAAUAAAAAGAAUCACUACAUUAAAAGGAGCCUCUUUGCCCAGUUAGCAGGGGUGCUGAUGCUGCUAGCAAAUGUGGAGAGCCUUCAUGGCUCUUAAGGACUGUGUCAUCAUUGUAGGAUGCAUCUCUCAUCAUUCCCAAUGGUAGCAGCAUCCUACAGUACAGAUGCAAUCCUUAGCAACCACGGAGGAUUGCUAGCUGCAGGCUUUGCAGACUCAUGGAACCAGUGCAUGCACAGUAUGUCAGGCAUUAUUGACAUCUGAUUGCAAUACCCUUAACCGAGCCACUAUUACAACAAAGUUUUACUUAGUUGCUAAAUUUAAUUAAUUAAUUAAUUAAUUAAUUAAUUAAUUUGUUAAUUGAUUAAGGCAAUACUUAGUUUUAAUAUUAGAGGGAAGGUCCAAAGACCAACUCUACAUGCAAGAAGUCUCAGCUUAAACCUUGCAACAUCUCAAAUUAGAAGCAUCUCAUAGCAGGAAAAUACCUCUUUCUAAGAGAACCAUUACCAGCAGGAGCAGAAUUGCCACAUAGACCAUUUAUUUCAAAUAGCAUAUGGCUAUCUUUAUUUGGGUGUCCUGUGUUUUAUUUUUGUAACAAGCGUGUUCUAAAAAAAAAAGUAGUUUAAAAAAAAACAAACGGAAACAUGACUGGAAAAAUCACAGGAUAAUCUUUCUGCUCCCCAUCUCUAUUUUCCUUAAAUAACAAUCCCUUUUUAUUCCAAUAGCUUUUAAUGUGUGCCUUGAUGGUUAAAAAACUAUUCACAGUUACUUUUACUUCUUUUGUUCAUUUGUUUUACACUUAGGUUAUUUCUCUGGAGGGGAAAAAAAAAGAGUAUCACAAGUGACCAUCCAUGGCCUUUUAUUUGGCUUUUCAUCAGCAAUAACCUGAGUGAAUGUUCAGUGAACCAUUCUGAAUGCCUCUUCAUACUGCCGUCCAAAUGGGGAUAAUCACUUCUCAGUGCUCAGAUGACAGCAGCAUAAACUAGGUGACAGACUGAGUAGUGACAACACAGUCAACAUGGUGCAGUACUUUGUGUCAUGCUGGAGAAGGCUCCAGAUGUACAGUUUGUGCUUUGUGCUGACACAGCACAUGCAUCCAGGCAGCACGGCCACUCCUGGAGAACGCUGGGUGUCUUCUCUACCCUAUGGGUCUCUCCCAUGCAGAUGACAAAAUGGUCAUGCCAGCCUGUGAUCUGGAUUCUAUGGCAGAUCAUUUGGGGCACUAGAACAUCCCAUUGAUGCUGAAUCAAUUAGCAGCUAUGCACAGAUCCACAUGUAGAUGUAGAUAUCUUUAUUUUGGUCGUUGCCCAGCAAUGCACAGAUCCAGUGGAAAUUGACUAGAUCUCCUAGUGACACAAGGAGAGCAGAAUGGUAGCCCAUUCUUUUAUAAAGGAAUUUUAUUGUGUAUUAAAUUGUUUUAAUUAUGUUCAUGUUUUAAUUGGUUUUAUAUUAUGAACCGCCCAGGGACUUUUUUUUUUUUUUUGGUAUGGGGUGGUAUAUCAAUGUCCUAAAUAAAUAAAGAGAUGCACUGUAGCUAGUAAA